RNAcentral lists this long non-coding RNA (14708 nucleotides) under Gossypium barbadense (sea-island cotton). Its description in RNAcentral is "long non-coding RNA (GBAR_LNC002778)". Lineage: Eukaryota; Viridiplantae; Streptophyta; Magnoliopsida; Malvales; Malvaceae. The record is from RNAcentral.
AAGAAUAAUUUGCCUACCCUUUCCGGCAGAACAAACCGACCAAGGUCCCACUUGAAUAUGGACCUUAAAAACCUUCUUCACGGCCGACCAAGGUCCCACUUGAAUAUGGACCUUAAAAACCUUCUUCACGGUAGAAGAUUCUUAUUACUUCAUCAUUUACAUUAGAGGCAACCUUUAGAGACAAACAAUCUGUCAUGCUGAAUUCAGUCAAAAAAUGUGCCCUACAUGCUACAACUAGUCCCCAGGCUGUUGGUUAUGCUGUGCUGUAAUCAAAUAGUUCCACGGGGGAGAAAGAAAAUACUAAACCUGACAGCUGACGGAAUUUCCGGUAUGUGUUGCUAUAUAUGGAUAACCUUAGAGAUGAAUCUGUUUCCGUUCCACAUUUUUCUUGGCAUGUAAAUUCAUGUUUCUUUGCAUAUAUUGACUAUUCAUUAUUAUGUAUAAUGUGUUGAAGGACAGAUUUGAUAGCAUCAACCAUUAAGCUCAAGUCAUUUUGUUUAUUUAGUUUUUUCUUUUUUUGUAUCGAUGAGCUUUUUCAUAGUAUAAGAUUGAUAUUGUUUCACCAUUGAUGUUAGAGGCAAGCUUGAGACAUGUAAUCUGUUAUACCAUGACCAGAAACAUAUAAAUUUGGGCUACCUUGACCUUCUGUGUUGACUUGAAAAAGAAAAUGAAAAUAAACUAAGGGGCAUGAAUAUAUCUUUUUUGACACUGUUUUUCAAGGUCAAAAUCUUAGCAAUAACAUACAUGAAGGUAUAUUUGUUACGUGCAUAUAUUUACUUAUUAUUGAUUAUUAAAGUCUCAUUCUCACCCCCUUUUUUCAUCUUACCUAUGUAGCUGACAAAUUGGGGGUAAAGGAUAAGGUAUCAGAACAAAAGGAAAUUUGUUGUAAAUUGUAAUGUUGGUACAGGUACUCUGAACCCAUAAUUCUCAUGUCACUGAAAAAAUCGUAAUGGCAGGAUACGCAUCUCUAAGGCUUCUCAAUAGCUAAGGCAUGAAAAUAUGUAUUAGACUGUAGGAAACACCCUUCAACUAGUAUAUAUAGAGAAAAUAUGUCGCAUGGACUUGCUUACAGAAAGUGAACAAAGCUGGUCUGAACUUUCCAUGUUACUUUAUAAUAUCUUGAGAUUUAAGAUCACCACUUCACAACGCAAAUCAGUGGCUGUCCCACCCUGAACUGAUAUUUGUUUGCAGGAGCUGUCCGUAAUGCAAUAUGCCAGGUAUCGAUGGUUAAAUUGUAGGGGCAACUCUGUGGACUAGUCUACAUUAUCAAAAGUUCCACUGUCAAAUUCCUGUUUAUCUUCAUUACCUCCAGACACCAAAACAAGCAAGUUGAUCAGCUCAUGUGAUGCUGUUGCUUGACACAUCCUAAAGGAGAGUGAUGGUAAAAAUCGGGGACUAAUCUGACAAUACAGUAUAUUUAAUGGGUACAUUAAGCUAAAUAAUAUGCGACUUUUUUCCUUAAAAUGAUCAAAUCCACCACAAAUUGUCAAAGAUAAAAGGAAAUUUAACAUUUCAUUGUAUCAGCCAACUUAGAAACUUUUAUAGGUAAAAGCAUACCAUUUAAUGAAAUAACAUGGUCCCUUACCUCAGAUCUUUAUAUAUCUUAAUCAAUUGUCAAAGCUGGUUAAGCAAAUUUGUUAUGAAAAUUAUGAAACUAAAUACAUGUAGUUUAUAUAUUAUGCAGAUUUGAGGGUGAAUGUUGGAGGAUUAUAAUCUCGUACUUACAUCUGAAUAUGUGUUGGAUAUAGGUGUUAGAACAGAUAUUUUAAGAAAAAUGAAGAGUUUAUAUUAAUUAGCUUGUAUGUUGAAGUAAUUUGUGAACAAUGUAAAUCAUUUACAAUUAAAUUAUAUAUGAAACCAACAAUAAAAAGGGGACCAUAGGAAAUUAUAACAAGAAAUAAAAUUUCAAUUGAAUGAUGUGUUCCAAACUGUUACAGAAGCCACCAUCUCUACUAUUCCACUUAGGGGGACUUAUUAUCUGCUCCCCAAGGCAAAAAGGAUGGGAAAAAAGUGUAAAUGGUGUUAGUGAUGUUUGCUUUACAGAAAUGUAUGAGCUGAUUUGACAUAAUUCAAGCGAGAGGUAACAUCAAGAAAGAUAUCUUCGUUGCAGGGAAUUGUGAGACCGCCAGUAGGAUGACUAUAUCCGAACUCUUCUUGUGACAUGCCUAGCAAAUCUUGAAAUGAAGGCUGGUUCAAGAAUGAAAUUGGUAUCACAAACCUCUUCUGGUUUUCUCCAACAUAAACCGCAAAGUAGCCCUUGGGAACUUUCUUAGAGCUAAUGAUAUGAGGUAGGUGGAUAGCCAUUGCUGUUUUUGAUAGAUUUAUGCUUCUCAAAGGGAAGAAAAGGAAGAACUCAGAUAACUAGGAAAGCAAGCUUGAGAAUGUUGAAGGUAGGAGUUGGCAAUGAACUUAAUCCUACUUGUAUAUAUAGAUGUAUAGGGUAGAGAGGAAAUCAUAUUCUUCUAUUAUUAAGUGGGGGAUGUGCAAUGAGUGGUGAAGGUGCAAUUGCUGGGGUCUGAUCAGUAAUGAGAUGGGCAUGGGCUAAUGGGGACUCACAUGGUGUUGUCUUCCAAGGAAUUAUCAAGAAUUCCAUGUCAAAUACUUGAAUGAAUGGUUUUCCUACCUUGCCGGCAAAAUGAACCGACCAAGGACCUACUCAGAUUUGGAAGAUUUGGAUCCAUUAAUAUAGCUUCUUCCUAAUAGAAUAUUUUUAUUACUUCACUAAUGACAAUAGAGGCAACCUUUAGAGACAUACAAUCUGUCAUGCAAUGAUAGAGAACAAAUAACAUGGAUGACUUUGACCUCCUAUUUCAUACAGACUUCACAUAAAACUUGUAAGACAAACCCUUGUGAAGAGCGCCUGAAGUGUGUCCUACAGGCUACAAAAACUCCUCAUCUGAACCCAACUUGUUGCGUUUUAUCCAGGUUUGUUGUCUAUGCCGUGCUGCAAUCAAAUAGUUCCAUAGGGGUGAAGACAAUUAGUCCACAAUUCUGGUGGCAUGUUUGUUGUGUUCUUAGCAUAUUUUGACUAUUCGUUAUUAUAUUGGGGAGAACAGUUGUCAGGUCAAAGUCAGAAAGCUAUUCAAACUACAACAAAUUUCAAUGAAGGCUUCUUCUGCACAUGGGACUGUGAGACUACCCCUUGGAUGAUCAAAGCCAAACUCCUCUUCCAGCCUGAUUUAUCAAUUCUUAAAAUGAAGGGUGCUUCAAGAAUGAAAUUGGAUGGCCUUUGGUUAUUUAUGAAGCUGCUGUCACCUUUUGGAUAAGCUGCUUUGUGUGAACAAGUGCAGGUACUGACAAACACGCAAGUCUUAUGAACUGAGAAAUGUUGCAAGGGCAGAAUACGUUCAUCUCUAAGGCUCCUGAAUAGCUAAUGCAAAAAAUAUAUAUAUGAAAGAGUUGGUAGCCCUCUUACUCUUAUCUCAAAAUGGUCACAAAUCUAUUUGGUGUUACAUUCAGUCAUUUGUAUGUUUGUUUCCAUACAUGACUGGAGUUUAAAGUAGUUGAAAUUUUCUUGAAUUUAACCAAUGAUGAUUAAUCAUUGUUAGAAUUAUGUGACCUAAAUUCUAAGAGAUUGCUUGCAAGUCAAGUUAAACAAAAAUAUAUUUUCUUUCUAGAAGAUUUAGUAUUUAUUAGUAUAAUAUAUUUAGCAUUUAUUAGUAUAGUUUAUUUGACUUACUAAUUUAGCCUAUAAAUAGGCUCAUUUACAAUCUUAGAAUUAAAGAGACACCCAUUAGAUUAGAACUCAUAACACAUUCAGAGAAUUUUGUGUUUACGUUUGAGGGUUCUUUGUUUUUCGGGUUUUCGGGGUUUAGUUUUUAUCUCCAUCUUUUGUACUCUUCAUUCUUUUGCCAUUAUAGUAAAAUUAUCUUUGCCCGUGGUUUUUUAUCCUCUUUUGAGGGGUUUUUCCACGUUAAAUUUGUGUGUUCAUCUUCUCAAUUUCUUCUACUAUUUUUACUUGUUCGUUGCUUAAUCGGGAUGAUCCUAACAAGUGAUAUCAGAGCUAGUUUAACUUUCAUAGAUCAGCCCGGUCAGAGAUGGCAGCAACAAGGUUUGAAAUUGAGAAGUUCGAUGGUGAGACAAAUUUCAAUCUGUGGCAAGUUCGGAUGAUGGCAAUUCUAGUUCAAAAUGGCUUGAAAAAGGUUGUUACAGGGAAAAAGCCUGAGAAUCUAAAUCAAACAGAAUGGGAAGAGCUUGAUGAAAAGGCCUUGUCUGCAAUCCAGUUGUGCCUCGCGAAUACAGUAUUGCAGGAGGUAUUGAUGGAGAAGACCUCAUUCGCCUUGUGGAAAAGGUUAGAAACUCUUUAUGCGACUAAGUCUCUGGCUAACCGUUUAGUGUUGAAACAACAUCUAUUUACGUUUCGCAUGAACGAAGGUGAGCUUCUUAAAGAUCACAUCAGUCAAUUCAUUACUCUUUUAAAUGAUUUAAAGAACGUUGAGGUUCAUAUUGACGAUGAAGAUCAAGCUAUGCUAUUAUUGUGCUCUUUACCCUCUUAUACAAGUCUUUCAGGGAGACCCUGAUUUAUAGCAGAUAGACAAGCUUCCAUUUUGGUAGCAUCAAAGAAACGAGACAAAAGGUGUCGCUAUUACAAAAAGUUAGGUCACGUCAAAGCAGAUUGUUAUAAACUGCGAAAUAAAAGAGCUGCUGAGAGUAACGAGAAAGAUGUAGCUGGUGCUAAUUUGGUCAAUGAAGGCGGUGAUGAUUUCUUGUUAGUGUCAACGAGCGAUAACUCCAAGCUUACGUCUGAGUGGAUCCUAGAUUCAGGAUGUUCUUUCCACAUGUGUCCCAAUAGAGAAUGGUUCUCCACAUACAGUUCAGUUGAAGGUGGAGUUGUGCACAUGGGAAACGAUUCAUCUAGUAAAAUAAUCGGUAUUGGUACUGUUAAAAUUAGGAUACACGAUGGGACGAUUAGGACACUCUCAGAUGUUAGGUAUGUACCUGAUUUACGAAAGAAUCUCAUCUCCUUGAGUAUUUUAGACUUGAAAGGAUGCAGAAUCAACAUCGAGUCGAGCGACAUUAAAGUAUCUCGUGGAGCUCUCGUUUUGUUAAAAGGUAAAAGAACCGACAGUCUUUAUAUUCUGGAAGGUUCUACAGUGACCGGUGAAAUCAGACGUCCCUCGUCCGUUACGGAGUCAAAGUCAACUCAUUUGAAGUGGAGGCAACUUGGUCAUAGGAGGGAAAAAGGUAUGACUGUUUCGUUGAAGAGAGGUUCUCUUUUGGAUGCAGGUUUUGAAAAGUUAGGGCACUGUAUUCGUGAAAAUCAGACCCGGGUUAGUUUUGAUUUGGCAGUGCACAAGUCGAAGGCUAGAAGUCUUCCAGCUUCUAAGCAUAGAUUCGACUCAGUUAAUUCCCUGCAUAGUUCAAGAUAGGCCCAUGGCGGGUUUUGGCAAAGAUGGCAUUGAAAGAAUUCGUGUCAAGGUGGAGAUUGUUAGAAUUAUGUGACCCAAAUUCUAAGAGAUUGCUUGCAAGUCAAGUUAAACAAAAAUAUAUUUUCUUUCUAGAAGAUUUAGUAUUUAUUAGUAUAAUAUAUUUAGCAUUUAUUAGUAUAGUUUAUUUGACUUACUAAUUUAGCCUAUAAAUAGGCUCAUUUACAAUCUUAGAAUUAAAGAGACACCCAUUAGAUUAGAACUCAUAACACAUUCAGAGAAUUUUGUGUUUACGUUUGAGGGUUUUUUGUUUUUCGGGUUUUCGGGGUUUAGUUUUUAUCUCCAUCUUUUGUACUAUUCAUUCUUUUGCCAUUAUAGUAAAAUUAUCUUUGCCCGUGGUUUUUUAUCCUCUUUUGAGGGGUUUUUCCACGUUAAAUUUGUGUGUUCAUCUUCUCAAUUUCUUCUACUAUUUUUAUUUGUUCGUUGCUUAAUCGGGACGAUCCUAACAACCAUUAAUAUAUAAAACCAAAUAAGUAACAAGAAUGAAGUUUACUUUCUGAUAAUACUAAUCAAUAUGUAUCAUGAACUUAUAUCUCUUUUACUUUUCUCUUUUUCGUUAAAAUAUUUUGUCCUUAGCUUUGUUGUAUUAAUCGCUUAGUCCCCAGCCUCAAAUCUUUAUAUAUCUUAAUUCUUGGGCAAAUCUACAUUAAGAAAAUUACUUUGAAAAUUAUAACACGAAAUUGAUCGUUUAAUAAGCUACUAUCAUGGUAAAGAAUACUUGUAAUCUAUCUUAACUAGACAUUGUACUCAUGUUUGAAUAUGUGUUGGCCAUAUGAAAUCGAACAAAAAUGAAGGGUCCAACUCCAAAUAACUUAGCAUGUACUCACGUUUGAAAGUAAUUUUAGAACAAAGUAGAUUAUUUACAGUUUAUAUUAAAGAUGAAUUAACGCGAACAAGUAAAAAAUUCAGAAAGGAAAUAAAAUGACAAUUGAAUGAUGUGUUUUGAACUAUCAUUACUGAUGGAUAGGAGUGUUACACUAAUCACCAUCUCUAGUUCUCCACCCGGGGAGACUUAUAUCAGCUCUCCAAGGCAAAAAGGAUGGAGAAAAAAAUGUUUACAUGUAUUAGUGAUGUUUACUUUACAAAAUUGUAUCACCUGAUUUGUGUUAAUCAUCUCACAAUUACUACAAGCGAGAGGUAACUUCGAGAAAGGUGUCUUCAUUGCAGGGAAUCGUGAGACCACCAGUAGGAUGACUAUAUCCGAACUCUUCUUGUGACAUGCCUAGCAAAUCUUGAAAUGAAGGCUGGUUUAAGAACGACACCGGUAUCACGAACCUCUUCUGGUUUUCUCCAACAUAAACUGCAAAGUAGCCCUUGGGAACCUUCUUAGAGUUAAUGAUACGAGGCAGGCGGAUAGCCAUUGUUGUUUUCGAUAGAUGUAUUCUUCAAAAGGGAAGAGGAGGAAGAUCUCAGAGAACUUGGAAAUCUAAGGUAAAGAAGUUUAUUACUUGAAAAUGUGAAAGUAGGUAUUGCCAAUGAACUUAGUCUUACUUGUAUAUAUAGAUGCGAGUGGCCAAUGGAAAUGUUUCUCUAUUAAGUGGAGGAUGAGGAAUGAGUGGUGAAGGGACAAUUGCUGGGGUCUGAUCAUUAAUGAGAUAGACAUGGGUUAGUGGGGCAUCACAUGGUGUUGUUUUCCAAAGCAUUAUAAAGAAUUCCAUGGCAAAGACUUGAAAGAAUAGUUUGCCUACCCUUUCCGGCAGAACAAACCAACCAAGGUCCCACUUGAAUAUGGAAGAUUUGGAUCCUUAAAAACCUUCUUCACAGUAGAAGAUUCUUAUUACUUCACCAUUUACAUUAGAGGCAACCUUCAGAGACAAGCAAUCUGUCAUGCUGAAUUCACUCAAAAAAUAUGUCAUACAUGCUACAACUAGUCCCCAGGCUGUUGGUUAUGCUGUGCUGUAAUCAAAUAGUUCCACGGGGGAGAAAGACAACACUAAACCUGACAGCUGACGAAAUCUCCGGUAUGUGUUGCUAUAUAUGGAUAACCUUAGAGAUGAAUCUGUUUCCAUUCCACAUUUUUCUUGGCAUGUAAAUUCAUGGUUCUUUGCAUAUAUUGACUAUUCAUUAUUAUGUAUAAUGUGUUGAAGAACAGAUUUGAUAGCAUCAGCCAUUAAGCUCAAGUCACUUUGUUUAUUUAGUUUUUUUUUUGUAUCGAUGAGCUUUUUCAUAGUAUAAGAUUGGUAUUGUUUCACCAUUGAUGUUAGAGGCAAGCUUGAGACAUGUAAUCUGUUAUACUAUGACCAGAAACAUAUACAUUUGGGCUACCUUGACCUUCUAUGUUGACUUGACUAAGAAAAUGAAAAUAAACUAAGGGGCAUGAAUAUAUCUUUUUUGACACUGUUUUUCAAGGUCAAAAUCCUAGCUAUAACAUAUAUGAAGGUAUAUUUGUUACGUGCAUAUAUUUACUUAUUAUUGAUUAUUAAAGUCUCAUUCUCACCCCCUUUUUCAUCUUACCUAUGUGGCUGACAAAUUGGGGGUAAAGGGUAAGGUAUCAGAUCAAAAGGAAAUUUGUUGUAAAUUGUUAUGUUAGUGCAGGUACUCUGAAACCCAUAAUUCUCAUGUCACUGAAAAAAUCGUAAUGGCAGGAUAUGCACCUCUAAGGCUUCUCAAUAGCUAAGGCAUGAAAAUAUGUAUUAGACAGUAGGAAACUGUUGAAAUAUGUAUAUAUUUUAAAUUUAUUUAGGUAGAUAAGUUUUAUUCAUAUUCUAGGAAUAUUUUUAUUUUAUGUUUUAGUAGUUUAUUAGGACAAUGGAACUAUUUUCUUUCAUAUUUUAGUAGUUUAUUAGAAUAAGGGAACUAUUUUCCCAAUUAGGAUUAGAACUCUUUUCUCUAUUUAAGUUCAAUUCUUCAAUUAAUAAUAUAGAACAGUUUUAUUAAAAGCUCUCUUGAAAACUUUCAUGGCAUCUGAGCUAGGUUAAAAUCUCUAGUAACAUCAUGGUUAAAACAACCUUCACUAGAGAAGAAAAAACCUUGGUGCGAUUACUGCAAAAAAUAUUGGCACACUCGAGAAACGUGUUGGAAGCUCCAUGGGAAAUCGACAAAUGGAAGGAAAAAGAGUGGCAAUGGUCGUGGUUCACAAUUAGGGGAUAGCAGAGCUUUCCAAACAACUAAUGGAAAUUAUAAGGGCUAAAGUUCUCUGGAAGGGUCUCCAUUCACUAAGGAACAAUUAGAGCAUCUACACAAGUUUUUUCAAUCACCACAAUUUCGGAUGAAUUCUUCAAUUCCUAACUCAUCCAAUAAUCCUUCUUCCUCUGUUGCCCAAUCAGGUACUGAUUUUUCUAUUUUUUUCAGUGUCAAGCCUUGUAAAACAAACACAUGGAUCAUUGAUUCUGGAGCUAGUGAUCACAUGACUAGUAGUUAUUUUCUUUUUUCAACUUACAUACCUUGCGCAGGAAACAAAAAGAUCAAAGUAGCAGAUGGGUCCUUCUUGGCAAUAGCCGGGAAAGGCACUGUCAAAAUUUCAUCUUCCUUGGUUUUACAUGAUGUUUUACAUGUGCCAAAUCUAGCUUGUAAUCUCAUAUUGGUCAGUAAAUUAUCCCAGUCCUCAAAUUGUCAUGUUAUAUUUGACUCCUCUAUGUGUAAGUUUCAGGACAUGGUCUCGGGGAGGAUGAUUGGCAAUGCUAAAGAAUUUGGUGGAAUUUACUUUCUUGAAGAUGACCAUCUAAGUCAACCAAUAACUACUUUAUGUUUAAAUUCUGUUUCUGAUAAGGUUAUGAUUUGGCAUUAUAGGCUUGGACAUCCUAAUUUUUACUAUUUAAGAUAUUUGUUACCUAAUCUUUUUAAAAAUAAAAGUCAUUCUUCAUAUCAUUGUGAAUUUUGUGAAUUGCUAACAUCAUCGGUCAUUCUUUCCACUUCAAAAAUAUAAAGCCUCCAAACUUUUUUCGUUAAUUCAUAGUGAUGUUUGGGGACCUUCAAGAGUCUCGACCUUUUCAGGAAAACGUUGGUUUGUCACUUUUAUUGAUGAUCAUACUCGACUUUGUUGGGUGUUUUUAUUAAAAGAUAAGUCUGAAGUUAAAAAUGUGUUUCAAUCUUUUUAUACUAUGGUGAAAACACAAUUUGGUGUGAAAAUAGAAGUAUUUCGGACUGAUAAUGGUGGAGAACUUUUUAGCGACCAAUUAGGUGUUUUCUUAACCAAACAUGGAAUAGUCCACCAAAGUUCUUGUACAAAUACACCAUAGCAAAAUGGGAUUGCAGAAAGAAAAAACCGACAUCUUUUGGAAGUAACUAGAGCCUUGAUGUUCACUAGUCAGGUACCACGUUAUCUUUGGAGCGAAGCCUUGUUAACAGCUACAUAUCUUUUAAUAGAAUGCCCAGUAAAACUCUAAACAAUAGAACUCCUUUUAGUCUCUUUAAAGAUAAUUUUCCUAACUCUAAAUUGAUCACAGAUUUAUCCCUCCGAGUUUUUGGGUGUAGUGUUUUUGUUCAUCUUCACAACCAAGGUAAACUAGAUCCUAGAGCAAAAAAAUGUGUCUUUGUUGGUUAUGCUUCUACUAAAAAGGGUUACAAAUGUUAUGAUCCAAUUGAUAGGAAGAUUAUUAUUACCAUGGAUGUCACAUUUGUUGAAACACAAUCUUAUUUUGAUUCUAAUCUUCAGGGAGGGAAUUAUACUAAGGAAGAUUCUAUAAUUGAUCAAGAAAAGAUUAGGAAUAUACAACAUAGGGAUUCUAAUAAUGGGGAAGGCGAAUUUAUAAUUAACACAGAAAUUAAUGAUGUUAAUGUUAAUGAAAAGGAGGAUGAAGGUGUAGAGUCUAAUCAUGAGAAUAAAAAACAAACAAAGGAGUUAAUUGUUUAUUCAAGAAGAAAUCGAAAUCAAGAAAGUGGAAUCCACUAGAUUCAUCACCAAGAAUCCGACCCGCAAGAUCCUGUCAAAAGUCCAGGUAAAACUCAUAAUCCAGUUAAUGAAUUUUCUGAUUUAAAUAUUUCAAUUGCCAAAAGAAAAGGUGUUAGAAAUAUUGUCAAAUAUCCCAUGUCUAACUUUGUAUCCUAUAAAGCCUUGUCUUCGACAUUCUCAACCUUUGUUUCGUGUCUCGAUACUGUACAAAUACCCAAAAAUGUGAAAGAUGCUUUACAGGUUCCUGAGUGGAAGGAGGCUAUUUUAGAAGAGAUGCGCGCUUUUGAAAAAAUAGGUACAUGGGAAACAAUGGAAUUACCUGUAGGGAAAAAAACAAUGGGCUGUAAAUGGGUGUUCACAACCAAAUUCAAACCAGAUGGAUCUUUAGAUAGAUACAAAGCCCGGUUGGUGGCUAAAGGGUACACUCAAACAUAUAUGAUAGAUUAUCUUGAAACGUUUGCUCCAGUGGCCAAAUUAAAUUCCGUUAGAGUUCUUUUAUCAAUUGCUGUUAAUCUUAAUUGGUCUUUAUAGCAGUUAGAUGUGAAGAAUGCUUUCCUAAAUGGAAAACUUGAAGAAGAAGUUUACAUAGAUCCUCCUCCAGGUUUUGAAGAAAAAUUUGGAACUCGAGUAUGUAAACUCAAGAAAUAUUUGUAUGGUCUGAAGCAGUCUCCUUGAGCUUGGUUUGAACUAUUCACUCAAGUUGUUAAAAAACAAGGUUACUCACAAGGGCAAGCUGAUCACACAAUGUUUUAUCGACAUUCACAAAAAGGUAGAAUAGUAGUUAUUAUAGUUUAUGUCGAUGGUAUCAUUCUUACAGGAGAUGAUGUGGAUGAAAUAAGGCGUCUCAAGGAGCAUCUAGCAUUGCAGUUUGAGAUUAAAGACUUGGGUCCUUUGAAAUACUUUCUUGGAAUGGAAGUUGCUCGAUCAAAGAAGGGUCUUGUGGUCUCUCAGAAAAAAUAUGUGAUUGAUCUUUUAAAAGAGGCUGGGAUGAGUGGUUGCCGCCCAGCUGACACACCAAUUGAUCCAAAUGUAAAAUUCGAAAAUAAAGAAGGUCGAUUAGUUGAUAAAGGGCAGUACCAAAGAUUAGUUGGUAAGUUAAUUUACUUAUCACAUACAAGGCCAGACAUUGCUUUUGCAGUGAGUUUAGUGAGUCAAUUUAUGCACUCCCCAAUGGAGGAACAUGAAGAAGCAGUGUUUCGAAUUCUAAGAUACUUAAAGAGUUCACCGGGAAAGGGCUUAUUCUUCAAGAAAUCCGAACAAAGAGGAAUUGAAGCUUAUACAGAUGCAGAUUGGGCAGGCUCAAUAAUAGAUAGAAGAUCUACAUCAGGAUACUAUACAGGGGAAACCUUGUGACUUGGUGAAGCAAAAAACAAAGUGUUGUAGUAAGAAGUAGUGCAGAGGCUGAGUUUAGAUCAAUGGCUCAAGGAAUUUGUGAAAUGAUGUGGUUAAAAAGAAUUAUGGAAGAGCUGAGGAAACCAAUAACUUCACCAAUGAAGUUGUACUGUGAUAGCAAAGCUGCCAUUAGUAUUGCUCACAACCCAGUCCAACAUGAUAGAACUAAACAUGUUGAGAUUGAUAGACACUUCAUCAAUGAGAAGAUUGAAGAAGGCCAAGUGUGCAUGCCGUUUGUUCCUUCAAAACAACAGAUUGCUGACAUACUCACCAAAGGACUCUCUAAGACAAACUUUGAUUUUCUUGUAAGCAAGUUGGGCAUGAUUGAUAUAUAUGCACCAACUUGAGGGAGGGUGUUGAAAUAUAUAUAUAUUUUAAAUUUAUUUAGGUAGAUAAAUCUUAUUUAGGUAGAUAAGUUUUAUUCAUAUUCUAGGAAUAUUUUUAUUUUAUGUUUUAGUAGUUUAUUAGGACAAGGGAACUAUUUUCUUUUAUAUUUUAGUAGUUUAUUAGAAUAAGGGAACUAUUUUCCCAAUUAGGAUUAGAACUCUUUUCUCUAUUUAAGUUCAAUUCUUCAAUUAAUAAUAUAGAACAGUUUUAUUAAAAGCUCUCUUGAAAAAUUUCAGAAACACCCUUUCAACUAGUAUAAAGAGAGAAAAUAUGUCGCAUGGACUUGCCUGCCAGAAUGUGAACAAAGCUGGUCUGAACUUUCCAUGUUACUUUAUAUUAUCUUGAGAUUUAAUAUCACCACUUCACAACGCAAAUCAGUGGCUAUCCCACCCUGAACUGAUAUUUGUUUGCAGGAGCUGUCCGUAAUGCAAUAUGCCAGGUAUCGAUGGUUAAAUUGUAGGGGCAACUCUGUGGACUAGUCUAACAUUAUCAAAAGUUCCACUGUCAAAUUUCCUGGUUAUCUUCAUUACCUCCAGACACCAAAACAAGCAAGUUGAUCAGCUCAUGUGAUGCUGUUGCUUGACAUAUCCUAAAGGAGAGUGAUGGUCAAAACCGGGGACUAAUCUGACAAUACAGUAUACUUAAUGGGUACAUUAAGCUAAAUAAUAAGCGAUUUUUUCCUUAGAAUGACCAAAUCCACCUCAAAUGGACAAAGAUAAAAGAAAAUAUAACAUUUCAUUGUAUCAGCCAACUUAGAAACUUUUAUAGGUAAAGGCAUACCAUUUAAUCAAAUGACUUGGUCCCAUACCUCAGAUCUUUAUCUAUCUUAAUCCAUUGUCAAAGCUGCUUAAGGAAUUUUUUUACGUGAAUUAUGAAACUAUGUACAUGUAGUUUAUAUUAUGCAUAUUUGAGGGUGAAUGUUGGAGGAUUAUACUCUUGUACUUACAUCUGAAUAUGUGUUGGCUAUAGGUGUUAGAACAGAUAUUUUAAGAAAAAUGAAGUGUUUAUAUAACUUGGCUUGUAUGUUGAAGUAAUUUGUGAACAAUGUAAAUCAUUUACAGUUAAAUUAUAUAUGAAACCAACAAUAACAAUGGGACCACAGGAAAUUAUAAGAAGAAAUAAAAUUUCAAUUGAAUGAUGUGUUCCAAACUGUUACAGAAGCCACCAUCUCUAAUAUUCCACUCAGGGAGACUUAUCAUCUGCUCCCCGAGGCAAAAAGGAUGGGAAAAAAGUGUAAAUGGUGUUAGUGAUGUUUGCUUUACAGAAAUGUAUGAGCUGAUUUGUCUUACUUCAAGCGAGAGGUAACAUCGAGAAAGAUGUCUUCGUUGCAGGGAAUUGUGAGACCGCCAGUAGGAUGACUAUAUCCGAACUCUUCUUGUGACAUGCCUAGCAAAUCUUGAAAUGAAGGCUGGUUCAAGAAUGAAACUGGUAUCACAAACCUCUUCUGGUUUUCUCCAACAUAAACCGCAAAGUAGCCCUUGGGAACUUUCUUAGAGCUAAUGAUACGAGGUAGGUGGAUAGUCAUUGUUGUUUUUGAUAGAUGUAUGCUUCUCAAAGGGAAGAAAAGGAAGAACUCAGAUAACUAGGAAAGCACGCUUGAGAAUGUUGAAGGUAGGAGUUGGCAAUGAACUUAAUCCUACUUGUAUAUAAAGAUGUAUAGGGUAGAGAGGAAAUCAUGUUCAUCUAUUAUUAAGUGGGGAAUGUGCAAUGAGUGGUGAAGGUGCAAUUGCUGGGGUCUGAUCAGUAAUGUGAUAGACGUGGGCUAAUGGGGACUCACUUGGUGUUGUCUUCCAAAGUAUUAUCAAGAAUUCCAUGUCAAAUACUUGAAAGACUGGUUUUCCUACCUUACCGGCAAAAUGAACCGCCUAAGGACCUACUCAGAUAUGGAAGAUUUGGAUCCAUUAAUAGCUUCUUCCUAGUAGAAGAUUUUUAUUACUUCACUAAUGAAAAUAGAGGCAACCUUUAGAGACAUACAAUCUGUCAUGCAAUGAUAGGGAACAAAUAACAUGGAUGACUUUGACCUCCUAUUUCAUACAGACUUCACAUAAAGCUUGUAAGACAAACCCUUGUGAAGAGCGCCUGAAGUGUGUCCUACAGGCUACAAAAACUCCUCAUCUGAACCCAACUUGUUGCGUUUUAUCCAGGUUUGUUGUCUAUGCCGUGCUGCAAUCAAAUAGUUCCAUAGGGGUGAAGACAAUUAGUCCACAUUUCUGGUGGCAUGUUUGUUGUGUUCUUAGCAUAUUUUGACUGUUCGUUAUUAUAUUGGGGAGAACAGAUGUCAUGUCAAAGUCAGAAAGCUAUUCAAACUACAACAAAUUUCAAUGAAGGCUUCUUCUGCACAUGGGACUGUGAGACUACCCCUUAGAUGAUCAAAGCCAAACUCCUCUUCCAGCCUGAUUUAUCAAUUCUUAAAAUGAAGGGUGCUUCAAGAAUGAAAUUGGAUGGCCUUUGGUUAUUUAUGAAGCUGCUGUCACCUUUUGGAUAAGCUGCUUUGUGUGAACAAGUGCAGGUACUGACAAACACGCAAGUCUUAUGAACUGAGAAAUGUUGCAAGGGCAGAAUACGUUCAUCUCUAAGGCUCCUGAAUAGCUAAUGCAAAAAAUAUAUAUAUGAAAGAGUUGGUAGCCCUCUUACUCUUAUCUCAAAAUGGUCAAAAAUCUAUUUGAUGUGAC